RNAcentral lists this ribosomal RNA (468 nucleotides) under uncultured bacterium. RNAcentral's name for it is "partial 16S ribosomal RNA". It matches the Rfam family "Bacterial small subunit ribosomal RNA", at positions 28 to 507 of the family's 1533-position model. The record is from RNAcentral.
GACGAACGCUGGCGGCGUGCCUAACACAUGCAAGUCGAACGGAAAGGCCCUGCUUUUGUGGGGUGCUCGAGUGGCGAACGGGUGAGUAACACGUGAGUAACCUGCUCUUGACUUUGGGAUAACUUCAGGUAACUGGGGCUAAUACCGGAUAGGAGCUCCUGCUGCAUGGUGGGGGUGGGAAAGUUUCGGCGGUUGGGGAUGGACUCGCGGCUUAUCAGCUCGUUGGUGGGGUAGUGGCUUACCAAGGCAUUGACGGGUAGCCGGCCUGAGAGGGUGACCGGCGACCAUGCGACUGAGAUACGGCCCAGACUCCUACGGGAGGCAGCAGUGGGGAGUCUUGCGCAAUGGGCGGGAGCGUGAUGCAGCAGCGCCGCGUGCGGAAUGACGGCCUUCGGGUUAUGAACCGCUUUCGCCUGUGACCAAGCGUGAGUGACGGUAAUGGGUAAAGAAGCACCGGCUAACUACGUG